UGGGGGUUCGCUCGUGGGAAACAUGGACUGGAAAUCCACGUGUCGGCGGUUCGAUUCCGCCCCCAGCCA
This 69-nucleotide transfer RNA is filed under the name Verrucomicrobiota bacterium. Its description in RNAcentral is "Verrucomicrobia bacterium tRNA-Ser". Lineage: Bacteria; Pseudomonadati; Verrucomicrobiota. The record is from RNAcentral.